This 3845-nucleotide unclassified non-coding RNA is filed under the name Sweet potato chlorotic stunt virus. The stretch from base 3785 to 3845 matches the Rfam family "3'-terminal pseudoknot in SPCSV". The record is from RNAcentral. Lineage: Riboviria; Orthornavirae; Kitrinoviricota; Alsuviricetes; Martellivirales; Closteroviridae.
GAAAAAGAGGAUCACGUUCUUAUUUUGCAAAUAAUUCCUUUAUUGCGUAUUUGAGGUUUGUUCUUUAUAUUAUCAUAACUUAACAGAUGGAUACUGGCAAAGUAAACGAUGACAAGAACUUUGACUCUGACUCCGAUGUAGGUUUCGGGGACAGGAAUGAGAACGAUAAUCUACGAAGACGUUCCGAUACGAUUGACAACGAAAACGUCAACAAUGUGGGAAGAAGAGACAUGGAGUUAACCAGUGGUAUAUUAACAUCUGAGCAACUGGCUCUUGCGAGGUUGGGAAAAAUACAGGUUUAUUCUAACUCACCAGACAUUAUGUCUAAGAGUCAAGAAGAUGAAUUCAAGAGACAUAUGGAGAGUUUUGUGAGGCAAAUUUCAGGGGAAACUACAUUAUCUCCUGAGAUUUUUGCAGGUUUCUACGCAUCUCUAUUCCAAGCUUGGGCAAACCAAAGUACUUCGGAAAAGAACGCGUCGAAUGCAAAUCUCGAGAAUGUGUUCAUGGUUAAUGGUAAGGAGUACAGUUGGAGAACUCAUAGUUUCAUCAAUCACAUGCAAUCCAAUAUGCCCGACGUGAAGAAUGCUGCUAGGAAAUGGGCCAGGGCUCACGCGAAUGAUUAUAAGGUUCUUGUUGGUUUGGGUAUAGUAAAACCUGACUAUCAUUUGCAAGCUAAACAAGGUGUAUUACCGGAGUAUUGGCAUCUUGCGACCGACUUCAUGAGAGGUAAUGACAUGGCGACGACUGCAGAUGGAUUAGCAGCAACACUGAUGAUGAUGAAAAGGAACGCUCUUUGUAACAAGGACAACAAGAAUUCUAUUUAUAACGUAACUCAAUUGACCGGUACUGGUCUUCACUGUUGAGUAUGGAUAUAUUAGAACUAGAAGUAGAUAACAUUAUAUCGACAAAUUAUCCCGAUGAUGAAUCCGAAAUAGUGACUAGAGCUGUGGGAUGUAAGUUCAAUCAAGAUUAUUCUCUACCUUACAAAGAUAGAGAACAAGUCGACUUCUCUAUACCUUACACUUCCGCGUUAAGAAGUAAACCUGUCACUUUAGAACUAUAUUUUCAUAUAGGAUCCGGGUAUGUUGUGUAUACUUGUAAACCCGCCGAUAACUUCAACCAAAAGAUAUAUGAGUCGAAUUUGGGAUCAUUCUUCUCAUCUUUUAGGAAUCUCGUCACUCCCAGAAGACCGCGUGGUAUGAACGCAUUUAGAUUUGGAUAUUUGCGAGAGGGAAACGACUGCUUUAUAAUAGUUGAAGGUUGGAGAGUCGUGCAGAUAUCAAAUGCCAACACUAUAUUCGGCGUUUCAUUGAGGUUAUCGUUAGACAUUGGCGACGUAAUCUUCAGCAAGUCCGACAAACUAAGUGCUAAUCAAAUUGCUCUAGAUUCGUGUUUGGAAUGCACUAGACCAGAUGGUUUGUUGAAAGGGGCCAAACCGAAAAGUGUUAAUAUUUUCUCUGAGACAACCCAAGAAAGUGUGAAAAUAACACCAAUUGGAGACAUUCCAUUAAGUGUUUUCAAUUCAGUAACCAAUCUCAAUCUAAAAAUACUGAGAAGUGGUGACGAUUCUACAUCGAUUAAAGAUGAGACUCAGAUCGACAAAGACCGUACUACAAUGAGUAAUGAAGAAGAUAAAAAGAAGAUCUUCCGCAUUUAUUACUCAAAUUUCUUAGACAGUGGUUUUAAGAAUUCUUUAAACUACACUAUACUUUGGCCGCAGAUAUCAUGUAACGGUGUAGAUGUAAAUCACCAAUUUUGGAUCGGUGACAGAGAAGAUAUGUUUGAAGGAGGUGUACAUUACAUACACACCACAUCGAUCAAUACGUUAUUCUUCGUACAUCGUAAGGGAGAUGUUUCAGAAUAUUUUAAAAUAAACGAAGAUCAAUCUGCCAGGAUACUGAAGACUAUACCAACUGAACUCACCUUCAGUAUAGUCAAAAAUCCUGGAAGUAAGUAUGUGGUGUAUGUCAAUGGAGAAAAAUUUUUAAGUACAUUUCUGCCUAAUGUUGGUACCAAAGUCCAAAUAGGUUGGGAAAUAAAGUUGUACAAAGAUAAGGUUAAAAAUUUUGAGAAGUCCAAUUUGAAAACUUUCGAAAUUGUUCCUAGAGAAACGCAAGUUAAGUCGGAUAAUGAGCUUGUGACACUAAGAAAAUAUGAGUUUGGAACAACAGAUUUCAAUGCUAGUGGAUGGGUACUUGAAAAGAAGUUGGGGCUGAGAUUGAAAACAAUUAAGCAUGUCAACGAACUUUUCACCGAUGACAAACCUCCUGAGAAAGAAGAACAAGUCGAUAAGACGGAUAAGCAAGACAAGAAAACACCCGAAGAAAAGAUCGACGACACCGUAGUUGUUGACAAGACAGAGGAUGCGAAAGAAAACUUGGAAGAGUUCGCACUCAAAGCCGUUGUUUAUCAACCACUAUCAAGGUUAGAAGAUGAGAAAAUCUUCAACAACAUGAUUAAAUAUUAUGAAAGUAAGGGAUUAACUCAAAGACAAGCUGAAUUACUCAUCUAUCAAAUGGGAGUUUCCUUUUGUACGAGUGUUAACAGUUGUGCAAAUACCAAUCUACAUUUAAUUGUAUCUAAACCGGAUGGAAGUUUGCUCAAGGUGUCUAAGUCCGACCACGUAAUGAGGAUGCAAAUGUUGUGUAAGAAGUACUGCAACGUUGAAAGAACGUUACUUAGAAAUAGAAGUGAUAAAAUAUUCAGACUUCUGAAGGCUAAGGUACUGGUUUUACCACUGAAACAUGCUAGGGUCAGAGGUAUAAAACCGGAAAUGGCACAUAUGGCAUGUGAUUUCAUGGACUACACCACCAUCCCAUUGAGUGAUGAGGAAGUUCUUGCAUUAAAUUCAAUGCAAAGAUUUGUAUUGAUGAGAAAUAAGCACCGCAGGUCCAUAGUGAAUGUGAAUCAACUGUUUUGAAAAUAUGUCGGGCUGGGAUGACAUACCUAUACAACAAAAUUAUGUUUCUUCCAGCGUUCGUAAUGAUGAUGACAUUGCGAAGAUAUGUGCCAGAACGUUUAACCGAGCAGUUAAUUUAUUAACUGAUUAUUCUCAACAUACUAUUCCUGAACUUCGAGAAAGUAGAUUCGAGUUGGGAUGUAUCCGAAGUCUGUGUGAAAACGAUGACCUCAAUAUCAACCUUGGAGCAGAUAAUAACAAUCUUUUCCAAGGAUUGAACAAAUUGGGCGUUAGGGCCGACUCACUUAGAGUUAACAGUGAGAGGUUCUUCCCCUCAAUAUCCAGUAAGGUGAUGACCAACGUGAUAGAUUCUAUUUCCUCUGUGAUGGAGUUUGUUAUAGAUCUUAAUCAUUCUGGGUUUUCAACCUUAUGGGUUGGUGAGAUCAUGACCAUAUAUGAUGUCAACAGUUUUGACAAACUGGUGGAUGCCAUAUAUAGGUUUUUGUUAUACACCUACAACUUCCCUGAGGAAGUGCAAUUUCAUAUGACCUUGAAUUUGUUUAAUGACGAUAUUUUAAAAAUAAUAUCAAAAGCAAAGAAAAAGAUUAGACCUCUUAGUGAUAGUGAGAGGGUUUUAAUGGCUAAAAGUAUUACUAAAGGGAUUCAUUUCGAAUUCCACUUUACUUAUAGGUCUUUAGGUUUAUAUCUUCCUAAAGUAACUAAUAGUCUAACGGUUUGUAAUAAAAAUCGAUAAAGAUAUUAGGGUAGAUUUGAUUAAUGUUUAUACCCUAGAGUCAUACACCUGAGAGAUUCGGAGUGUGUAUUGUAAAAACUCAAAAAAUAUAUGUUUCGUAUACGUAUUUCUAUUUAGAGUGUGUGUAUGAACGGUUUUCCUAAAUCGUCGUGAGACGGACCUUGGAAAACCUAGUAUUUAAAUAACUAGGUC